This 253-nucleotide ribosomal RNA is filed under the name uncultured bacterium. Its description in RNAcentral is "partial 16S ribosomal RNA". It matches the Rfam family "Bacterial small subunit ribosomal RNA", at positions 524 to 776 of the family's 1533-position model. The record is from RNAcentral.
UACGAAGGGGGCUAGCGUUGUUCGGAAUUACUGGGCGUAAAGCGCGCGCAGGCGGUCCUUUAAGUCGGGGGUGAAAGCCCAGAGCUCAACUCUGGAACUGCCUUCGAAACUAGAGGACUUGGGUACGGGAGAGGUUAGUGGAAUUCCCAGUGUAGAGGUGAAAUUCGUAGAUAUUGGGAGGAACACCAGUGGCGAAGGCGGCUCACUGGACUGGUACUGACGCUGAUGCGCGAAAGCGUGGAGAGCAAACAGG